AUUUCUAAUAUUUAGGAUCAACAAGAACGCUACGCCCCGUCCAGAAAGUAACGUUAACGCUUCACACCGGCGAGCUGAGUGGGCGGAGCCUAAUUCUCCCAGAACGGACGUUGUUUGUACAACAGAACAAGAAGGAUCUGUGUACGAGAACACGAAAAACAUAUAUGAAAACUGAAAACUCAACAAUCGUCUAUUCCUUAAAAAGGCUACUUGAAAGACGAAGAGCUCCACAACAAGACGACACAUUUAUCAGACACAACAUAAUUAUUACCUUAUUCAUCUCAACAGUUAAUGUGUUAGUAAGGAUUUCUUAAUCCUCUAAUAGACAGAAAAAGUGGUAUUUCUGCUGCAUUUACUGUCAAAAGCCAUUCCAAUUUUCACUGUCCAU
Molecule: non-coding RNA, 388 nt
Organism: Gasterosteus aculeatus aculeatus (three-spined stickleback)
Lineage: Eukaryota; Metazoa; Chordata; Actinopteri; Perciformes; Gasterosteidae
Source: RefSeq, a predicted model, not a curated record